CCUACGGGAGGCAGCAGUGAGGAAUAUUGGUCAAUGGACGAGAGUCUGAACCAGCCAAGUAGCGUGAAGGAUGACUGCCCUAUGGGUUGUAAACUUCUUUUAUAAAGGAAUAAAACGAGGCACGUGUGCCUUUUUGCAUGUACUUUAUGAAUAAGGAUCGGCUAACUCCGUGCCAGCAGCCGCGGUAAUACGGAGGAUCCGAGCGUUAUCCGGAUGUAUUGGGUGUAAAGGGAGCGUAGAUGGGUUGUUAAGUCAGUUGUGAAAGUUUGCGGCUCAACCGGAAAAUUGCAAUUGAUACUGGCAGUCUUGAGUACAGUUGAGGUAGGCGGAAUUCGUGGUGUAGCGGUGAAAUGCUUAGAUAUCACGAAGAACCCCGAUUGCGAAGGCAGCUUACUAAACUGUGACUGACAUUGAUGCGCGAAAGUGUGGGUAUCAAACAGGAUUAGAUACCCCUGUAGUC
Molecule: ribosomal RNA, 460 nt
Filed under: uncultured bacterium
Lineage: Bacteria
Description: partial 16S ribosomal RNA
Rfam family: Bacterial small subunit ribosomal RNA
Source: RNAcentral